This 63-nucleotide ribosomal RNA is filed under the name Deschampsia elongata. RNAcentral's name for it is "partial 26S ribosomal RNA". It matches the Rfam family "Eukaryotic large subunit ribosomal RNA", at positions 1 to 62 of the family's 3401-position model. Lineage: Eukaryota; Viridiplantae; Streptophyta; Magnoliopsida; Poales; Poaceae. The record is from RNAcentral.
GCGACCCCAGGUCAGACGGGACUACCCGCUGAGUUUAAGCAUAUAAAUAAGCGGAGGAGAAGA